AUUGAACGCUGGCGGCAUGCCUUACACAUGCAAGUCGAACGGCAGCACGGGUGCUUGCACCUGGUGGCGAGUGGCGAACGGGUGAGUAAUACAUCGGAACAUGUCCUGUAGUGGGGGAUAGCCCGGCGAAAGCCGGAUUAAUACCGCAUACGAUCUACGGAUGAAAGCGGGGGACCUUCGGGCCUCGCGCUAUAGGGUUGGCCGAUGGCUGAUUAGCUAGUUGGUGGGGUAAAAGCCUACCAAGGCGACGAUCAGUAGCUGGUCUGAGAGGACGACCAGCCACACUGGGACUGAGACACGGCCCAGACUCCUACGGGAGGCAGCAGUGGGGAAUUUUGGACAAUGGGCGAAAGCCUGAUCCAGCAAUGCCGCGUGUGUGAAGAAGGCCUUCGGGUUGUAAAGCACUUUUGUCCGGAAAGAAAUCCUUGGCCCUAAUACGGUCGGGGGAUGACGGUACCGGAAGAAUAAGCACCGGCUAACUACGUG
Molecule: ribosomal RNA, 486 nt
Filed under: uncultured bacterium
Lineage: Bacteria
Description: partial 16S ribosomal RNA
Rfam family: Bacterial small subunit ribosomal RNA
Source: RNAcentral